This 393-nucleotide ribosomal RNA is filed under the name uncultured nitrite-oxidizing bacterium. Its description in RNAcentral is "bacterial SSU rRNA". It matches the Rfam family "Bacterial small subunit ribosomal RNA", at positions 521 to 916 of the family's 1533-position model. The record is from RNAcentral.
UAAUACGAAGGUGGCAAGCGUUGUUCGGAUUUACUGGGCGUACAGGGAGCGUAGGCGGUUGGGUAAGCCCUCCGUGAAAUCUCCGGGCCUAACCCGGAAAGUGCGGAGGGGACUGCUCGGCUAGAGGAUGGGAGAGGAGCGCGGAAUUCCCGGUGUAGCGGUGAAAUGCGUAGAGAUCGGGAGGAAGGCCGGUGGCGAAGGCGGCGCUCUGGAACAUUUCUGACGCUGAGGCUCGAAAGCGUGGGGAGCAAACAGGAUUAGAUACCCUGGUAGUCCACGCCUUAAACGAUGGAUACUAAGUGUCGGCGGGUUACCGCCGGUGCCGCAGCUAACGCAUUAAGUAUCCCGCCUGGGAAGUACGGCCGCAAGGUUGAAACUUAAAGGAAUUGACGG